AAAGAUUAAGCCAUGCAUGUCUAAGUAUAAGCAAUCUAUACAGUGAAACUGCGAAUGGCUCAUUAAAUCAGUUAUCGUUUAUUUGAUAGUACCUUACUACUAGGAUAACCGUGGUAAUUCUAGAGCUAAUACAUGCUAAAAACCCCGACCUCUGGAAGGGGUGUAUUUAUUAGAUAAAAAACCAAUGCCUUCGGGCUCCUUGGUGAUUCAUGAUAACUUUACGAAUCGCAUGGCCUUGUGCCGGCGAUGGUUCAUUCAAAUUUCUGCCCUAUCAACUUUCGAUGGUAGGAUAGUGGCCUACCAGGGUUU
Molecule: ribosomal RNA, 309 nt
Filed under: uncultured fungus
Lineage: Eukaryota; Fungi
Description: SSU rRNA
Rfam family: Eukaryotic small subunit ribosomal RNA
Source: RNAcentral